This is a non-coding RNA of Potamilus streckersoni, 68 nucleotides long. The record is from the annotation of a GenBank genome assembly. NCBI's taxonomy places the organism in Eukaryota, Metazoa, Mollusca, Bivalvia, Unionida, Unionidae.
GAUGGCCUUGUGGUUAGAGCGUCCGCCUCGGAUGCGGAAGGCCGCAGGUUCGAACCCCGGCCGAUUCA